UACGUAGGGGGCAAGCGUUGUCCGGAGUUACUGGGCGUAAAGCGCACGCAGGCGGUCGCGUAAGAGUGCGGGGACAGUGGGCGGCUUAACUGCCCAAGGGUCGCACAGACUGCGUGACUGGAGGGCCAGAGAGGGACCUGGAAUUCCGGGUGGAGCGGUGAAAUGCGUAGAGAUCCGGAGGAACACCAAUGGCGAAGGCAGGGUCCUGGCUGGCACCUGGCGCUCAUGUGCGAAAGCCAGGGGAGCGAACGGG
This 253-nucleotide ribosomal RNA is filed under the name uncultured bacterium. RNAcentral describes it as "partial 16S ribosomal RNA". It matches the Rfam family "Bacterial small subunit ribosomal RNA", at positions 524 to 776 of the family's 1533-position model. The record is from RNAcentral.